AUUUAAGUAGUUUAAUUAAAAUUUUGAUUUGUGGAUUCAAUGAUGUAUUCUCUACCUUAAAUA
Molecule: transfer RNA, 63 nt
Filed under: Caryopemon giganteus
Lineage: Eukaryota; Metazoa; Arthropoda; Insecta; Coleoptera; Chrysomelidae
Description: tRNA-His
Source: RNAcentral